AUUCUUCUUCUUUGAUUUUUAUUUUUAUUUUCAUGUCAUAAACCUCAGAAGUAUAGAUAGUAAAAAAGACCAUAGUUGGAUUAAAAAAAUUUUUUUUAUAUGGUACAAGGGCUAAAGUGGUUGGGGACAGUAUAUGGACAAGAUAGAAAACUGUGAAGGAUUUUCAUCAAGUGAAAAGAAAACUAACAAAAAUAAAAAUAGAUAACAAAGAAAAGGUCCCCAGCAGUGGGAGAUAGCCACCUACAGCCAGUCAAACAACCCACAAAUCCAAGAUUACCCUAAUAUCAAAGGUAAUUGCUCUCUCCCAGCUGUAUUCUCUGGCUUACAGAAGCAUGUCACAAGUAGAACAUGCUUGCCACUCUUCUGUAUUUCAACAAAUUAACUGAAGGGCAGCACCUUUUCCCUCUCCACUCUCUUUACUCUUCAAUUGGAAUUUGUAAAAGUUAAUGAGAGCUUGGAUGAUAAAGAGGACAGUAUAUGUCAUCAGUCCUUUCAUUCACAUCCACGUCGCACUUAAUCUUGUUUUGCCCACCUGAGGAAAACUACCUUUCCUGACUUAAAAAUUGGUGUAAUCAUCAGAAUGUACUCAGCUGAUAUAUACAAGAACUGUUCUACAGCUAUUGUAUACAGGGCAGAGCAGCAAUGCUUGGACACUGGACAAGUAUGUGCAGAACAGUUUUAUCAUAACAGGUGCAUCUCAAAAGGGUUAGGAUUAAGGUUGACUGAUGGUGUUUCCAUAUAGAGUCUGUCAUAGACCAGUAAUGCCUCCUCUUGCACUACUGGUCAGGGAUUUCUAGAAGUUAUUGUUAUUGUCUCUAUAAUUGUGGUUUUAUAGCAAUGCUACCACUUCCUGGCUCAGUACUGGGAAUUCUGCCAAUUACAGUAGAUGUCUGUCAAGACAUCAGCAAUCAAGUCUAGCAUGUAUAUGUAAAGCUUGUAGGUUAGGCCAUCCAAAACAAGGGAUUUGCCUUCUGCUCGACCACUUACCAUCUGUGUAUCUCAGCUGCUAGUAAUUGCUUUUCACAGCACUUUAUGUAUCUUCUGCUGAGAGGCAGGGUAGCCUGUUAAAAUAGGCUCUAAACUCUACUACUGUUUUUUGUCCAUAACCACCACCACCACCACCACCAUUUGCUCUGAAUUGUUGAACAAAGUGCCUCUGGAAAACUGCACACAUCUGCUUAGAAUUGAACUUUCAUUAAAUAGAUUAUUGGGUGUUUAUUUGUCACAAAGAAAAUCUAACAUUUUGAAUCAGAUUUGUUUGGAGAAAGGAACAUAAAACAUAAGAAUUCUCUUCCCUCAUUAACAUUAUGCAUACAUGCCACUAUUCUUCUCUUUAGAUAAUGGUGGUUAAUCUUAUCUACUAUUUGUUUUAUUGAAGGAUGUUGUAAUAAAAGUACAUUCUAAAGAAUAUUCCAUUUUAUUUUUGGUGUUUUAUUUUUUUGAGAUAUCUUUAUGGAAUAUGUUCUGAUGAAAUGUCUAAUUUGCAAAUAUGGAACUGUCACUGGAAAUAAUAGCUUUUGUCACAAUUUAGCAUGAAAGCUUGUUGAUUCAUAUUUCUGGAAAUCUUAGAGAAAAUGACUGACAGAGCAAGGAAAUAGUAAAUGUUUAUAUUCUUAUUAUAGAUUAAUAAGGCCUUUGUUCCUUAUAUUCUAAAGUAUAACAAAGCCCUCUACAAACAACACCUCUGACUACACAUUACAGAAUUCUACUCACAGCAGUUACCGAUUUCAGUUUUCCAUUGGUAGCAUGAAAUUACUCUUCAUUAGCGUCAUUAUCAUAAUUAUCAUUACAUCUUGCUUAGCAUGGUGUCUUUCUCCCUAUUUGGUCUGAAAUGUGGACAAAAACUUCUCGUAAGAAACAUGCCAACAUUAUUUUCCAAUUAACAGUCAUACAACUAUUACCUUUGUUCCAACAUUUAUUUUAC
This is a long non-coding RNA of Octopus sinensis (East Asian common octopus), 1924 nucleotides long. RefSeq lists it as uncharacterized. The record is from RefSeq and is a predicted model, not a curated record. The transcript is spliced from 3 exons. NCBI's taxonomy places the organism in Eukaryota, Metazoa, Mollusca, Cephalopoda, Octopoda, Octopodidae.